CUCCGGUUUGCCCAGGUAGGAUCCCGGUCUUUUUUUUCAACGGAGCGCCCUACCGGCCCGUCCCGUCUGCUUCGCAGUGGGGGGGAACAAAAACGUACCCCCUGGGACCCCAAAAAUGGGGAACUUUGCCUGAGUAGGACCAAACCCAAGGAAACUCUGGGGGAAAUCCGUAACGGUUCUGACGUGCAAAUCGAUCGUCCAACUUGGGUAUAGGGGGGAAAGACUAAUCGAACCCUCUA
This 239-nucleotide ribosomal RNA is filed under the name Thermochiton sp. 1 HW-2022a. RNAcentral describes it as "partial large subunit ribosomal RNA". It matches the Rfam family "Eukaryotic large subunit ribosomal RNA", at positions 727 to 946 of the family's 3401-position model. The record is from RNAcentral. Lineage: Eukaryota; Metazoa; Mollusca; Polyplacophora; Chitonida; Ischnochitonidae.